GAUGAACGCUAGCUACAGGCUUAACACAUGCAAGUCGAGGGGAAACGGCAUUGAGUGCUUGCACUCUUUGGACGUCGACUGGCGCACGGGUGAGUAACGCGUAUCCAACCUUCCCAUUACUGUGGGAUAACCUGCCGAAAGGCAGACUAAUACCGCAUAGUCUUCGAUGACGGCAUCAGAUUUGAAGUAAAGAUUUAUCGGUAAUGGAUGGGGAUGCGUCUGAUUAGCUUGUUGGCGGGGUAACGGCCCACCAAGGCGACGAUCAGUAGGGGUUCUGAGAGGAAGGUCCCCCACAUUGGAACUGAGACACGGUCCACACUCCUACGGGAGGCAGCAGUGAGGAAUAUUGGUCAAUGGACGGAAGUCUGACCCAGCCAAGUAGCGUGCAGGAUGACGGCCCUAUGGGUUGUAAACUGCUUUUGUAUGGGGAUAAAGUUAGGGACGUGUCCCUAUUUGCCGGUACCAUACGAAUAAGGACCGGCUAAUUCCGUG
Molecule: ribosomal RNA, 492 nt
Filed under: uncultured bacterium
Lineage: Bacteria
Description: partial 16S ribosomal RNA
Rfam family: Bacterial small subunit ribosomal RNA
Source: RNAcentral